RNAcentral lists this transfer RNA (74 nucleotides) under Azoarcus indigens. It matches the Rfam family "tRNA". From Rfam's summary of the family: Transfer RNA (tRNA) molecules are approximately 80 nucleotides in length. Their secondary structure includes four short double-helical elements and three loops (D, anti-codon, and T loops). The record is from Rfam by way of RNAcentral. Lineage: Bacteria; Pseudomonadati; Pseudomonadota; Betaproteobacteria; Rhodocyclales; Zoogloeaceae. RNAcentral also lists the same sequence under 1 other name.
GCGCCCGUAGCUCAGUUGGAUAGAGUACCUGGCUACGAACCAGGGGGUCGGAGGUUCGAAUCCUUCCGGGCGCG